CACUGCUUGGCUUCCUAAGACCUUAGUAACGCCAUUAUUAUUAUUAUUAUUAUUAUAUUUUUUUCCAUCCGAAAACACGAACUGUAAUUUUUCUUCUAUUCACAGUUUCGAACUUGAAUUAUUUAUAUACAUUUUAAUGUUAUUCGUCUUUACGGUAACUGUUGCUGGCCCCGUUUUUCUUAUUCUUUUUCCUCUUUUUCCCGAUAGCCUACGUAAUAAUGUUAGCAUUCUUCUUCGACAAAAAUAUGUUUACCGUGUGUACAUGCAUUCGAUUCAACUAGAAAUCUUGAUAGACACAGCGUAGGUUGCGUGCAAAGCGAGAGGAAGUUUUGCCAAUAGCGUUUCUGCGAAUGUAAUAAUUUCCUAUAAUUUUCUUUUGAUAUCAACGUUACUUUCAACGACGUUAGUAACGACGGUUAGAACAAAAAACAUAACAUAUAUAGAGGGAGACUAUAUAAAUAAAAUUCGCCAAGUUUGCUCUUAAUAAAUCUUUUUACCGGAAAAAAAAAUUGAAAAAAGUUGCGUGAACAGAACUCAAAUCGUGCGUUUUUCCAUCGCACAGAAUGUUUGUUUUCUUCUGGAGUCGUUUCUGUAUGAGAGGUAUAACAGUAACGUGCUCUGCUCGUACUGAAACCAAUCGUUAGAAAAAGCAUAAAAAAUAUAUAUAUAUGCAGAAACGAACAGGCCUACACUGUAAGUCCUUUAAAGCCGAGGAAAACUUCGACUUGUCUCAUCAAGGACAUGGAAGGUGAACGAAUCAAUUGUCCUUCGAGUGAGAGAGAGAGAAAGGGUCGUAGUAACCUGCUACUUAAAAACAUCACCGCGUCCGAGAGAGAUCGGGAGAUUGAUGUUGCCUAUAGCUAUCCUACAAUGGUAAGGCAACAUUUUCAAGGACGUAUUCAUGUUGGAAAUCCGAUUUUGUACCGGAUCAAUGGAAGAAUAUAUACGUAUUUUUUCCUUCUUCUUCUUUUUUUUAUAUAUAUAUUUUUAGACCGGCUGGGGAUUUAACCGAUUUUGGUCGUUAAAAAGAUUACAGUUUAAUAUCUGUAAGACAGGCGUUGUUGUUGUUGUUAUUAUUGUUGUUACACGUGUGGAGAAGACUGGAACGAAUUGCAUUUUUGUGCGGAAGAGUUUCAUCAGAUGCAAAUCAAUUUAGUGCGGUUGGUAUUUUUAAAAUUUUGGAGACCGAAACGUUGUCCGGCUUGCAUGACAUUAACGCAACACCUGAAACGACAUCUCGGUUGCCAACCGAAGGAUGUUUAGUUGCCAAGGCAACAGCUUCCAGAAACUGGGACGUCGUAAUAGCCAUUAAAUUAAAAUCCCUCGGAUGUUGCCAAAUAUAUCGAUCCCGCUUAUCCCCUCCUUCAUCCCCACACAGUCUGUUGUUAUGGCAACGUUCUUGUGACAUUUCCCGGCUUCCACAAUCUGUUGGAAUCUGGUUACGAAGGACAAAGGAUUCGUAAUAAAGAUUGCUUGUCUAUCAGGUAAGAUUUCCCAUCAUAAUUCGAAUUAAAUUACUCCUCGUCCAUUUUUACAAAUCGAAAAUUCGCGCUUCUGCUCUUCGCCGAAUUACGCGUAUCGUUCGAAAAUAUUCUUACAGUUUUUUCUUUUUCUUUUUUUUUCUCGGUUAAAAACGGAUGUUUAGACAGACGUACGCACACAAACACGUUGUUGUGCGCUUUUCUGGCUUUAUCACGCUUCCUUAUUUAUUGAUAAUUUGCAAAAGUUCUCGUCUUGGGAAACUUUUCUGGUAACUGAUGAGAACUAAGUGAGAUCGUGAUAAUUUCGAAUACGUGACGCGAAAGGCUACGUGACGUGUUUGAUUGUGGAAAACGUGAUAUGCAUAUACCGUUAUGUUGUAACAGUCGAUGCUGCUUUUUUUUCUUUUUUUUUCGAUCGAUUUUUUCGCAUAUAUGUAAGUUUUUUCUUUUUUUUAUCAUCUGAAUAACCUAAAUUUUCCUGAUGGGAAUAACCUAAAUAACUUUUUUCCCUCCCCCUCUUAAUCUUCUCUAAUUUUUGAAAAUUCAAAUUAUGCCUUUAAAAAAACAAAAUUCGGUUUCGUUAAUGUAUGUAUGUGUUUUUAUUUCUCCAUUUUUGUUACGCAAAACGUCAGAAGUACGAGAAACGAGUUGCAAAAUUAUUUCAGAAGUAAUAAAUACGAGGAUUUUGUUGUCAACAGGAUUUUUUGUUGUUGUUGUUGUGUGUGUUUUCUGUAACAGAACGUGAAUUAUAGUUUUUUUUUCCCUUCUAAAUACUAAAAUAUCGUCU
Molecule: long non-coding RNA, 2268 nt
Filed under: Androctonus crassicauda
Lineage: Eukaryota; Metazoa; Arthropoda; Arachnida; Scorpiones; Buthidae
Source: RNAcentral